GCUGACGUCUUGGCCGUGACCUCCUGGGAUCAGACUCGUGUCCUCCUGCCAUCAGGACCCUGCGGAACUUUCCCCAAGAUGGGUCCUCCGAGCCUGGCAGCGGUUGCACUCCUCCUGGAGCAACUGACAACGAGGGUGGGCGCGGAGGUCGAGACCUGAGGAAACCGGCCGAUACCACUGGAGGGCGCGCGCCGGUCGGAGAGGCUAGGUGGUGAAGCCUCUCCUAUACAUCUGCCUUCUACAACAACAAGUUUGUUCCAACUGUGACGAAAGGGAAGAGGAAUUUGUGAAAGUCACCAAUACUGUACCAUCACAUUGAUAUGAGACCUCUUGCCAGGAGCUCAUGGAAGACAGUGACCUGGUGCAGUGGAAAGCACAAGACUUUAGGCCAUGGCAACAAAGGGCCUUGUGCUCACUACAGCAAAGCGUCCUGUCUUUGUCCAGCCCAGUCCAGUACAUCAGUCUCUGCAAAUAACAAAAGAUGUGGCCACUCGGCCGCCUGUCGGUGCCGCCACCAGAGCACCGAGAAAGGUUGAGGCCUCUCCAACUGGAACUGAACUAGGAGAGCAGCAGACAGUGGUUGGCAAUCUGCCUGCCAAUACAGAGGACACGGGUUCAAGCCCUGGUCCAGGAAGAUCUCACAUGCCACAGAGCAACUAAGCCCAUGCACCACAACUACUGAGCCUGUGCUCUAGAGCCCACAAGCCACAACUACUGAGCCCAUGUACCACAACUACUGAAGCCCACGUACCUAGGGCCCGUGCUCCGCAACAAGAGCAGCCACCGCAGU
Non-coding RNA from Kogia breviceps (pygmy sperm whale), 790 nucleotides. The record is from RefSeq and is a predicted model, not a curated record. Lineage: Eukaryota; Metazoa; Chordata; Mammalia; Artiodactyla; Physeteridae.